AACGAACGUUGGUGGGAUGUUUUAAACAUGCAAGUCGAGCGGCAGCACUUCGGGUGGCGAGCGGCGAACUGGUGAGUAACGCGUAGGUUAUCUGCCUCAUGGACUGGGAUAGCUCCUGGAAACAGGGAUUAAUACCGGAUAUGUCUAUAGAUGAAAGCGGCGUUUGCCGCACCAUGAGAUGAGCCUGCGUCCCAUUAGCUUGUUGGCGGGGUAAUAGCCCACCAAGGCGACGAUGGGUAGCCGGCCUGAGAGGGUGAUCGGCCACAUCGGGACUGAGAUACGGCCCGG
Molecule: ribosomal RNA, 288 nt
Filed under: uncultured bacterium
Lineage: Bacteria
Description: partial 16S ribosomal RNA
Rfam family: Bacterial small subunit ribosomal RNA
Source: RNAcentral